This 446-nucleotide ribosomal RNA is filed under the name Polygala vulgaris. Its description in RNAcentral is "eukaryotic LSU rRNA". The stretch from base 304 to 446 matches the Rfam family "Eukaryotic large subunit ribosomal RNA", at positions 1 to 141 of the family's 3401-position model. Lineage: Eukaryota; Viridiplantae; Streptophyta; Magnoliopsida; Fabales; Polygalaceae. The record is from RNAcentral.
UGCAGAAUCCCGUGAACCAUCGAGUCUUUGAACGCAAGUUGCGCCCGACGCCUUUUGGUUGAGGGCACGUCUGCUUGGGUGUCACGCAUCGUCGCCUUCCUCGCCCUCGGCUCAUCAACGGGUCGAGGUGCUUGGGGCGGUUGAUGGUCUCCCGUGUGCCUCGGCAUGCGGUUGGCUGAAAAUCGCAGGGCCAUGGUGUACAACGCCACGUCGCAUGGUGGACGAGUUAAUCUCUAAGACCGGACGUUUGCGUCGCCGUUGCCCCCCGAGACCCACAGCGCUGCAAUGCAGUGCCCUCCGACGCGACCCCAGGUCAGGCGGGACCACCCGCUGAGUUUAAGCAUAUCAAUAAGCGGAGGAAAAGAAACUUACGAGGAUUCCCUUAGUAACGGCGAGCGAACCGGGAAGAGCCCACGAUGAGAAUCGGCCGUCCUUGCGACGGUCCG